Molecule: ribosomal RNA, 491 nt
Filed under: uncultured Acholeplasma sp.
Lineage: Bacteria; Bacillati; Mycoplasmatota; Mollicutes; Acholeplasmatales; Acholeplasmataceae
Description: bacterial SSU rRNA
Rfam family: Bacterial small subunit ribosomal RNA
Source: RNAcentral
GCCCGCUACAGAAACUUAAAGGAAUUGACGGGACCCCGCACAAGCGGUGGAUCAUGUUGUUUAAUUCGAUGAUACGCGAAGAACCUUACCAGGUCUUGACAUCCCCCGCGAUGCUUUAGAGAUAAAGCGGAGGUAUUCGGGGAGACAGGUGGUGCAUGGUUGUCGUCAGCUCGUGUCGUGAGAUGUUGGGUUAAGUCCCGCAACGAGCGCAACCCCUAUUGCUAGUUACCAUCAUUAAGUUGGGGACUCUAGCGAGACUGCCAGUGAUAAACUGGAGGAAGGUGGGGAUGACGUCAAAUCAUCAUGCCCCUUAUGACCUGGGCUACAAACGUGAUACAAUGGCUGGAACAAAGGGAUGCGAAGCAGUGAUGUGGAGCGAAACCCAUAAAAACAGUCUCAGUUCGGAUUGAAGUCUGCAACUCGACUUCAUGAAGUCGGAAUCGCUAGUAAUCGCGGAUCAGAACGCCGCGGUGAAUACGUUCUCGGGGUUU